This 497-nucleotide ribosomal RNA is filed under the name uncultured Bacteroidota bacterium. RNAcentral describes it as "bacterial SSU rRNA". It matches the Rfam family "Bacterial small subunit ribosomal RNA", at positions 397 to 896 of the family's 1533-position model. The record is from RNAcentral. Lineage: Bacteria; Pseudomonadati; Bacteroidota.
CCGCGUGCAGGAAGAAGGCCUUCUGGGUUGUAAACUGCUUUUAUCUAGGAAGAAAACACCCAUGCGUGGGAAACUGACGGUACUAGAUGAAUAAGCACCGGCUAACUCCGUGCCAGCAGCCGCGGUAAUACGGAGGUGCAAGCGUUGUCCGGAUUUAUUGGGUUUAAAGGGUGCGUAGGCGGCCCUGUAAGUCAGUGGUGAAAGCCUCCAGCUCAACUGGAGAACUGCCAUUGAUACUGCAGGGCUUGAGUACAGACGAGGUUGGCGGAAUUGAUUGUGUAGCGGUGAAAUGCAUAGAUACAAUCAAGAACUCCGAUUGCGUAGGCAGCUAACUAGGCUGUAACUAACGCUGAGGCACGAAAGCGUGGGGAGCGAACAGGAUUAGAUACCCUGGUAGUCCACGCCGUAAACGAUGAUUACUCGAUGUUGGCGAUAAACAGUCAGCGUCUUAGCGAAAGCGUUAAGUAAUCCGCCUGGGGAGUACGCCCGCAAGGGUG